CUUUUUAGUGUCGGUCAGUUUUGGGGUAAAUUGAACUUUCGAGUACCACUCUUCAUAUUAAGUGUCCGAGACAUCGUCAUCAUGGUGGUUUACCUUCACGUCACCAUCCUCGCCUUCCUUCCCUAGGCUUAAGUGUCGUCGCCGUCAUCAAGGUUUCUGGGUUCGAAAACCUCCUCUUUUCGUUUGUCACGUAACGUCGACGUCGGUCUCUCUCUCUCUCUCGUCUCGUCACGAGUGAGAUGGUCAUUUUUUUAUUCAUGAGGACGAGGUUUUCUCUCUCGUCGCCGACGUCGUCUCUUCGUCUCUCCUCUUUUCGUCCUCUCUCUCUCUCCCUCUCCCCUGUCCACUCUGCCCUGUCGCCGUGGGUAUCGUUUGUGUCGAGGCACCUCUGGGUCUAGCCGCGCCGAGGAGCGAGCGACAGGUCGCCAUUUUUCCUCGUCUAAGUAGCGUCUAUCUAUCUAUCUAAUCCCCCUCCUUCCUUUGUUGACCCGCGUUGUCGCUGCCGGCUCUACACCACUUUCUCUCUCGACGAGGACGGACGGACCCCUUUCUUUCUCUCUCUCUCUCUCUCAUCUCGUUCCUUUUUGUAGUGUUCUUUUCGUACGUGUUUGCUCCUCCUCCUCCGCUGGUCAUCGGUCGGGGACUAAGGCGCAGGUCAGGUCAGGUCAGGUCAGGUCCCUCCCCCGCCUAGUACCGGCGGCAGUACCUAAACCUAGAGUUGACGCGCGGCGGCAGCGGCCUCGGCCGCGGGGUCCUGGUGGCGGAGCGGGUGCGUUACGAGGCGGUUCUUGUGCGGAUGGCGGUGGUCCACCUCCUGGACGUGUCCGACAUAACCCGCGUCUCCUUAGAGGCCGGCCUACGGGGGAAGACCCUCGUUAGGGUGCUGCAGGAGAUGGGGUAAGGGUGGGCAAGGUGCCGGUACCGGUGAAGGAGGGCUAGGGUGUAGGUGUGCUAACUAGGCCUAGGCAGUCCUCCGUUCGUCCGGUAGACCACACCGUUACCCCAGCGUCCCUCAAACCCACGACCCCUCCCAAGAAGACGGUCCUCCUUUGGACUGGUACCACCACCACACGUCCCCUCCAGCAGACCAAUAGCGGCAUACUAGCUAGAUCUCUUCGGCCGCUACAGGCUCCUGCUGCUGCUACUACUACUACACCUCUAGAACAGAGGACGAGCCAAGUCACUGAUACGGUUCGCGUCACGACCCAAACACCUAUUAAGGGUCACAAUAGUCUCCCUUUUACGACGACGGGUACAGGCAAAACCAAGUUGACCUAGAUCGCUAUGGGGUCUGUCAGUAAGUGGUCAGUUUCGUUUCCGAUGACGUAGACCGGCGUACGAAUAGCUGGACUUAUAUCGAGUUCUUCUACUAAAUUUACAAACGGGACUAAGAAGGUUUUUGCACAAGACAAGAGAAAACCGAUCAAGUUCUUGUUACGUUAGUCCUCUUCCAACGUCGUUGAGGUCGUUUCGUAAGGUGUAGCCUCCACUUAGAUCGUAACCUAGGAGUUUUCCCAGAAGCUAGUGUCAACGCCGUAGUUACGGCCGGGGUCUGUCGUGUUCCCCUCACUACCGGUCUCCUCCAUAAACACUGGGUGUCUCGUCAAGAUUCGGAAAGGCACACCUCCGAAGUUUAGUACUGCACGCAGAGUCUCCUUUAUAGGUCGUGGUUGUAUGCGAUCUAUUACAGAGACCUUACUCAAGAGUCCGGAGAUACCUUUAAGGUGCACUUCUCUACAGUCAAUCCCGCUCGCCAGCUGUAAGAAGAAGAAGAAGUCUAAAUGCUUUUUAUCCUCCUGUUUGUCGACACAUAUCCCUCACGGUUCUCCUCUCAGAUCGUCAUUAGACACUACUACUUUACCUCCCAAAACUGAACUUACACAGUCAACCUUCGUAGCUCGAGGGUAGCUACUACCUAUCGUCAGGGUCUCUCUUUGUACGUUCAUCAUCACUACCACAACUGUUCGAAGAUUCAGUAAUGAAAUGACUCCUAUUCCAGGUCCUUUUGUAAAGAAGGGAACUUACAGGUUGACAGUAUCUGGUUGUUGUGUACCGACUCUCAUACCUACCAUUUUCACAUGCCAGCGGUCUGAGACCUCAACGUUGUUUGUCCAGCUACAGCUAAGGUCUUUGAGGAGUUCCAGCACUGAUGCGAACAGGUUCUAACUCUGGUAGUUCAUUGCCUCUUAGUUUAAGAUACUUGCGCGGGUAGUGUAUAGUUCAACACCGUCUUCUACUCGAUGAUCGCAGGUGUCGUCGAGUCUGUGAGCAAAGGAAUAAGUGCCUAUCGCGACGCACCUAGUGUCUGUCGGUGACGUCGUUGUUGGUCCGUCUACGAGUCCUACCUCCGCUACUUGGCGUCCAGAGCGACCUGAGAAAGCUCCUUCCGCACUACUUGGAUCUCCGAGACUCUCUGCUGCCACUAAGUCGGUGGCACUGUCGCGGCCUGUUCCUGCCCGGAAGCACACCCUAGUUCGACUCCUCUCCCUCCCCCUACUCUCUGAAGGUCUCCCUCUAUAACGGGCCCGACCAGAGGGAGCGCUCCGUGCUCUAUACGCUGCUGAACGUACGAUAUCCCAGGUCCCUGUUCAUGCCGGGCAGCUGGGCCAGUUCCGACGGAGCCGCAACGAGGUUACGUACCUUGAUGACU
RNAcentral lists this ribosomal RNA (2650 nucleotides) under Triticum aestivum (bread wheat). Its description in RNAcentral is "partial small subunit ribosomal RNA". Lineage: Eukaryota; Viridiplantae; Streptophyta; Magnoliopsida; Poales; Poaceae. The record is from RNAcentral.